This 71-nucleotide transfer RNA is filed under the name Loxodonta africana (African savanna elephant). It matches the Rfam family "tRNA". Rfam says of the family: Transfer RNA (tRNA) molecules are approximately 80 nucleotides in length. Their secondary structure includes four short double-helical elements and three loops (D, anti-codon, and T loops). Further hydrogen bonds mediate the characteristic L-shaped molecular structure. tRNAs have two regions of fundamental functional importance: the anti-codon, which is responsible for specific mRNA codon recognition, and the 3' end, to which the tRNAs corresponding amino acid is attached (by aminoacyl-tRNA synthetases). tRNAs cope with the degeneracy of the genetic code in two manners: having more than one tRNA (with a specific anti-codon) for a particular amino acid; and 'wobble' base-pairing, i.e. permitting non-standard base-pairing at the 3rd anti-codon position. The record is from Rfam by way of RNAcentral. Lineage: Eukaryota; Metazoa; Chordata; Mammalia; Proboscidea; Elephantidae.
GCAAUGGUGGUUCAAUAGUAGAAUUCUUGCCUUCUAUGCACGAGACCUGAGCUUGAUUCCUGGCCAAUGCU